Molecule: ribosomal RNA, 616 nt
Filed under: Pseudomonas sp.
Lineage: Bacteria; Pseudomonadati; Pseudomonadota; Gammaproteobacteria; Pseudomonadales; Pseudomonadaceae
Description: bacterial SSU rRNA
Rfam family: Bacterial small subunit ribosomal RNA
Source: RNAcentral
UCUGCCUGGUAGUGGGGGAUAACGUUCGGAAACGAACGCUAAUACCGCAUACGUCCUACGGGAGAAAGCAGGGGACCUUCGGGCCUUGCGCUAUCAGAUGAGCCUAGGUCGGAUUAGCUAGUUGGUGAGGUAAUGGCUCACCAAGGCGACGAUCCGUAACUGGUCUGAGAGGAUGAUCAGUCACACUGGAACUGAGACACGGUCCAGACUCCUACGGGAGGCAGCAGUGGGGAAUAUUGGACAAUGGGCGAAAGCCUGAUCCAGCCAUGCCGCGUGUGUGAAGAAGGUCUUCGGAUUGUAAAGCACUUUAAGUUGGGAGGAAGGGCAGUUACCUAAUACGUGAUUGUUUUGACGUUACCGACARAAUAAGCACCGGCUAACUCUGUGCCAGCAGCCGCGGUAAUACAGAGGGUGCAAGCGUUAAUCGGAAUUACUGGGCGUAAAGCGCGCGUAGGUGGUUUGUUAAGUUGGAUGUGAAAUCCCCGGGCUCAACCUGGGAACUGCAUUCAAAACUGACUGACUAAAGUAUGGUAGAGGGUGGUGGAAUUUCCUGUGUAACGGUGAAAUGCGUAUAUAUAGGAAGGAACACCAAUGGCGAAGGCAACCACCUGGACUA